GGGGUAUUCACUAAAAGCUGCGUAAAGGGAAAUUAUGCGUAACUUGGGCAAAGAAACAUUUCACAUGAAAUAUUCCUCCUCUGAUUCUAUUGGACGUCAAAUGAGAGAUUUUUAAUCUAGUCACCCACUGAAAACGUCAACUAAAUUCUCGAAAAUAGCUUUGUUUUAUAAGUUUUUAUGUACGACUAGAAUCUCCGGUACAAUUCAGCCGUUCCUACAUUAUUAUUAAAGGACUUUCGUGGGAGCAUCUGGAGCUGGUUCCGAAUCGACAGCGAGUUUCAACCAGUUAACGAU
Long non-coding RNA from Aedes aegypti (yellow fever mosquito), 294 nucleotides. RefSeq lists it as uncharacterized. NCBI's taxonomy places the organism in Eukaryota, Metazoa, Arthropoda, Insecta, Diptera, Culicidae. The record is from RefSeq and is a predicted model, not a curated record. The transcript is spliced from 2 exons.